CAGUAACGGCGAGUGAAGCGGCAACAGCUCAAAUUUGAAAUCUGGCUCUCGGGCCCGAGUUGUAAUUUGUAGAGGAUGCUUUUGGUGAGGUGCCUUCCGAGUUCCCUGGAACGGGACGCCAUAGAGGGUGAGAGCCCCGUCUGGUUGGACGCCGAACCUCUGUAAAGCUCCUUCGACGAGUCGAGUAGUUUGGGAAUGCUGCUCUAAAUGGGAGGUAUAUGUCUUCUAAAGCUAAAUACCGGCCAGAGACCGAUAGCGCACAAGUAGAGUGAUCGAAAGAUGAAAAGAACUUUGAAAAGAGAGUUAAACAGUACGUGAAAUUGUUGAAAGGGAAGCGCUUGUGACCAGACUUGGGCUUGGUUGAUCAUCCGGGGUUCUCCCCGGUGCACUCUUCCGGCCCAGGCCAGCAUCAGUUCGCCCUGGGGGACAAAGGCUUCGGGAACGUGGCUCUCUCCGGGGAGUGUUAUAGCCCGUUGCGUAAUACCCUGUGGCGGACUGAGGUUCGCGCAUUCGCAAGGAUGCUGGCGUAAUGGUCAUCAGUGACCCGUCUUGAAACACGGACCAAGGAGUCGUCUUCGUAUGCGAGUGUUCGGGUGUCAAACCCCUACGCGAAAUGAAAGUGAACGCAGGUGAGAGCUUCGGCGCAUCAUCGACCGAUCCUGAUGUUAUCGGAUGGAUUUGAGUAAGAGCAUACGGGGCCGGACCCGAAAGAAGGUGAACUAUGCCUGUGUAGGGUGAAGCCAGAGGAAACUCUGGUGGAGGCUCGCAGCGGUUCUGACGUGCAAAUCGAUCGUCAAACAUGGGCAUG
Molecule: ribosomal RNA, 808 nt
Filed under: Fusarium petroliphilum
Lineage: Eukaryota; Fungi; Ascomycota; Sordariomycetes; Hypocreales; Nectriaceae
Description: eukaryotic LSU rRNA
Rfam family: Eukaryotic large subunit ribosomal RNA
Source: RNAcentral